UUAUUGGAACUCUUUUAUGAUUCAGCUCUUCAUGGAGUUCUACUUUAUCAUGAAAUUGAGUGCACUGGUUCCUUUCAAUUAGUCCCUGAAGGUUAUUAUUUUUGGACCACAGUUGACCUAAGGUAACUGAAACUGCUGAAAACAAAACCAUGGAUAAGGGAGGACUCUUGUAUUAUCACAGAUUAUAUCAAAACUAUGGCUCUAGGCUUUUUGGAAGAGUUUAACAAGUGGAGCUUGAAGCUCUGUUUUUCCCCUUUCUCUGGGCUGUUAUUGUCAUACAAAUUACAUCUUUAUACAUGUUGUGCUGAACAACAAGUGGAUUUGUAGGUGUUUCUUUGUGAAGUUAUCUUCUAAAUCAGAAUUAGGGAAGAAAUUAUUUAAGAUAGACUCCUAGAAAUACAAUUAUCAGCUCAUGAAUAUGGACAUAAUUUGAUAAAUACAGCAAAUUGCUUUCUAAAAGUUGUUCAGUAAUUUUUGACCAAAUAGAGCUUCCAUGUUUUCAAA
This 504-nucleotide long non-coding RNA is filed under the name Pongo abelii (Sumatran orangutan). Its description in RNAcentral is "lincRNA". The record is from RNAcentral. Lineage: Eukaryota; Metazoa; Chordata; Mammalia; Primates; Hominidae.